GAUGAACGCUGGCGGCGUGCCUAAUACAUGCAAGUCGAGCGAACAGACGAGGAGCUUGCUCCUCUGACGUUAGCGGCGGACGGGUGAGUAACACGUGGAUAACCUACCUAUAAGACUGGGAUCACUUCGGGAAACCGGAGCUAAUACCCGAUAAUAUAUUGAACCGCAUGGUUCAAUAGUGAAAGCCGGUUUUGCUGUCACUUAUAGAUGGAUCCGCGCCGCAUUAGCUAGUUGGUAAGGUAACGGCUUACCAAGGCGACGAUGCGUAGCCGACCUGAGAGGGUGAGCGGCCACACUGGAACUGAGACACGGUCCAGACUCCUACGGGAGGCAGCAGUAGGGAAUCUUCCGCAAUGGGCGGAAGCCUGACGGAGCAACGCCGCGUGAGUGAGGAAGGUCUUCGGAUCGUAAAACUCUGUUAUUAGGGAAGAACAAAUGUGUAAGUAACUAUGCACGUCUUGACGGUACCUAAUCAGAAAGCCACGGCUAACUACGUG
RNAcentral lists this ribosomal RNA (497 nucleotides) under uncultured bacterium. RNAcentral describes it as "partial 16S ribosomal RNA". It matches the Rfam family "Bacterial small subunit ribosomal RNA", at positions 28 to 507 of the family's 1533-position model. The record is from RNAcentral.